UACGUAGGGGGCAAGCGUUGUCCGGAUUUACUGGGCGUAAAGAGCGUGUAGGCGGCCAAGCAGGUCCGUUGUGAAAACUGGAGGCUUAACCUCCAGACGUCGACGGAAACCGCGUGGCUAGAGUCCGGAAGAGGCGAGUGGAACUCCUGGUGUAGCGGUGGAAUGCGCAGAUAUCAGGAAGAACACCAACGGCGAAGGCAGCUCGCUAGGACGGUACUGACGCUGAGACGCGAAAGCGUGGGGAGCGAACAGG
RNAcentral lists this ribosomal RNA (253 nucleotides) under uncultured bacterium. RNAcentral's name for it is "partial 16S ribosomal RNA". It matches the Rfam family "Bacterial small subunit ribosomal RNA", at positions 524 to 776 of the family's 1533-position model. The record is from RNAcentral.